RNAcentral lists this ribosomal RNA (441 nucleotides) under uncultured bacterium. RNAcentral's name for it is "partial 16S ribosomal RNA". It matches the Rfam family "Bacterial small subunit ribosomal RNA", at positions 338 to 795 of the family's 1533-position model. The record is from RNAcentral.
CCUACGGGUGGCUGCAGUGGGGAAUAUUGCACAAUGGGGGAAACCCUGAUGCAGCGACGCCGCGUGAGUGAAGAAGUAUUUCGGUAUGUAAAGCUCUAUCAGCAGGAACGAGACAAGACGGUACCUGACUAAGAAGCCCCGGCUAACUACGUGCCAGCAGCCGCGGUAAUACGUAGGGGGCAAGCGUUAUCCGGAAUCACUGGGUGUAAAGGGAGCGUAGCCGGCUGAGCAAGCCUGAAGUGAAAGGCGGGGGCCCAAACCCUGGACUGCUUUGGGAACUGUACGGCUGGAGUGAAGAAGAGGUAAGUGGAAUUCCUAGUGUAGCGGUGAAAUGCGUAGAGAUUAGGAGGAACACCAGUGGCGAAGGCGGCUUACUGGACUGUAACUGACGUUGAGGCUCGAAAGCGUGGGGAGCAAACAGGAUUAGAUACCCGAGUAGUC